AAUGAACGUUGGCGGCGUGGAUUAGGCAUGCGAGUCGAGCGAGAACCGUAGCAAUACGGGGACAGCGGCGAAAGGGACAGUAACGGGUAGAUUAUCUGCCCUCAGGUUUGGGAUAGCUGCGGGAAACUGCAAGUAAUACCAAAUAAUAUCUCCGGAUCAAAGGUGUGAUUCCGCCUGAGGAUGAGUCUGCCUCCUAUUAGCUAGUUGGUGGGGUAACGGCCUACCAAGGCGUUGAUGGGUAGCGGGUGUGAGAGCACGACCCGCGUCAUUGGGACUGAGACACUGCCCAGACACCUACGGGUGGCUGCAGUCGAGAAUCUUCGGCAAUGGACGCAAGUCUGACCGAGCGACGCCGCGUGAGGGAUGAAGGCCUUCGGGUUGUAAGCCACUGUCAGAGGGGAUGAAAUGCAGGUGGGUUCUCCCAUCUGUUUGACAUAGCCUCAGAGGAAGUACGGGCUAAGUUCGUGCCAGCAGCCGCGGUAA
RNAcentral lists this ribosomal RNA (483 nucleotides) under uncultured bacterium. RNAcentral describes it as "partial 16S ribosomal RNA". It matches the Rfam family "Bacterial small subunit ribosomal RNA", at positions 29 to 523 of the family's 1533-position model. The record is from RNAcentral.